Molecule: long non-coding RNA, 719 nt
Organism: Gopherus flavomarginatus (Mexican gopher tortoise)
Lineage: Eukaryota; Metazoa; Chordata; Testudines; Testudinidae
Exons: 5
Source: RefSeq, a predicted model, not a curated record
CAGGUUUCACGCUUGGAAGGGGGGAUCGGUGAGGAAGAAGCACCCCGCAGGGCAGGUUUCACGCUUGGAAGGGGGGAUCGGUGAGGAAGAAGCACCCCGCAGGACACGGUUCCCGCUUGGAAGGGGGGGUGGGGGACGGACAGAGCACACCGCAGGGCAGGUUUCACGCUUGGAAGGGGGGGUGGGGGACGGACAGAGCACACCGCAGGGCAGGUUUCACGCUUGGAAGGGGGGAUCGGUGAGGAAGAAGCACCCCGCAGGGCAGGUUUCACGCUUGGAAGGGGGGGUGGGGGACGGACAGAGCACACCGCAGGGCAGGUUUCACGCUUGGAAGGGGGGAUCGGUGAGGAAGAAGCACCCCGCAGGACACGGUUCCCGCUUGGAAGGGGGGGUGGGGGACGGACAGAGCACACCGCAGGGCAGGUUUCACGCUUGGAAGGGGGGGUGGGGGACGGACAGAGCACACCGCAGGGCAGGUUUCACGCUUGGAAGGGGGGAUCGGUGAGGAAGAAGCACCCCGCAGGACACGGUUCCCGCUUGGAAGGGGGGGUGGGGGACGGACAGAGCACACCGCAGGGCAGGUUUCACGCUUGGAAGGGGGGGUGGGGGACGGACAGAGCACACCGCAGGGCAGGUUUCACGCUUGGAAGGGGGGGUGGGGGACGGACAGAGCACACCGCAGGGCAGGUUUCACGCUUGGAAGGGGGGGUGGGGGACGG